This 337-nucleotide ribosomal RNA is filed under the name Rothia sp. (in: high G+C Gram-positive bacteria). Its description in RNAcentral is "bacterial SSU rRNA". It matches the Rfam family "Bacterial small subunit ribosomal RNA", at positions 1206 to 1533 of the family's 1533-position model. The record is from RNAcentral. Lineage: Bacteria; Bacillati; Actinomycetota; Actinomycetes; Micrococcales; Micrococcaceae.
GUCCUGGGCUACACACGUACUACAAUGGGUAAGACAGAGGGAAGCGAAAGUGCGAACUGGAGCAAAACCCUAAACUUAUUCUCAGUUCGGAUUGGAGUCUGAAAUUCGGCUCCAUGAAGCUGGAAUUGCUAGUAAUGGCAGGUCAGCAUACUGCCGUGAAUACGUUCCCGGGCCUUGUACACACCGCCCGUCACACCAUGAGAGUUGGGAAUACCCGAAGCCUGUGAGCUAACUUUUUAAGAGGCAGCAGUCGAAGGUAGAAUCAAUGAUUGGGGUGAAGUCGUAACAAGGUAGCCGUAUCGGAAGGUGCGGCUGGAUCACCUCCUUUCUAAGGAGA